Molecule: ribosomal RNA, 253 nt
Filed under: uncultured bacterium
Lineage: Bacteria
Description: partial 16S ribosomal RNA
Rfam family: Bacterial small subunit ribosomal RNA
Source: RNAcentral
GCAAGUCGAACGGUAACAUUUCUUGCUUGCAAGAAGAUGACGAGUGGCGCACGGGUGCGUAACGCGUAUACAACCUGCCUUUAACAAAGGGAUAGCCCAUGGAAACGUGGAUUAAUACCUUAUAAUAUGUAGACAUGGCAUCAUGAUUACAUCAAAGAUUUAUCGGUUAAAGAGGGGUAUGCGUGACAUUAGCUAGUUGGUGAGGUAAUGGCUCACCAAGGCGACGAUCUAUAGCUGGUCUGAGAGGAUGAUC